AAUCAACGCUGGCGGCGUGCCUAACACAUGCAAGUCGAACGCGAAAGGGGCUUCGGCCCUGAGUAGAGUGGCGAACGGGUGAGUAACACGUGGGUGACCUACCCUCGAGUGGGGGAUAACAUCCCGAAAGGGGUGCUAAUACCGCAUGACAUCCUGCCUUUGAACAGGCGGACAUUAAAGCCGGGGAUCGCAAGACCUGGCGCUCGAGGAGGGGCUCGCGUCCGAUUAGCUAGUUGGUGGGGUAAAGGCCUACCAAGGCGACGAUCGGUAGCCGGCCUGAGAGGGCGGACGGCCACACUGGGACUGAGACACGGCCCAGACUCCUACGGGAGGCAGCAGUGGGGAAUUGUUCGCAAUGGGCGCAAGCCUGACGACGCAACGCCGCGUGGAGGAUGAAGAUCUUCGGGUCGUAAACUCCUUUCGAUCGGGACGAAUGGCUGGCGGUCUAAUACACCGCCGGAGUGACGGUACCGAGAGAAGAAGCCCCGGCUAACUCCGUGC
RNAcentral lists this ribosomal RNA (501 nucleotides) under uncultured bacterium. RNAcentral's name for it is "bacterial SSU rRNA". It matches the Rfam family "Bacterial small subunit ribosomal RNA", at positions 29 to 508 of the family's 1533-position model. The record is from RNAcentral.